Molecule: non-coding RNA, 556 nt
Organism: Microcebus murinus (gray mouse lemur)
Lineage: Eukaryota; Metazoa; Chordata; Mammalia; Primates; Cheirogaleidae
Source: RefSeq, a predicted model, not a curated record
CAUCAUGAGAAGUUGAAGACAGCCCUGACAUUUUGGUGGCUCAAGCACCAUUUUAAAGUGGUGUACUGCCUGAAGAAUUCGUUCCCAGAGUGCAGAAAUCAUUUGCUUUCUGAAACUAAACCUUACCAUCCUUCACAGUUCCUCCUCCAAUGGGGUGGGCAUGAGCCUCUGAAGCAUCCUGAGCCCUUCUAAGCUGCAGCUCCAUCUGCUGGAAUACAAGGAAAUUAACCAGUGUCCUAGCGUUCUUCAAUAUGGAUGAUCCUUUGUGUGUACUAAAUCAGAAUUCACCAUUUGACGAUAUCAUUUGUACUAAUGGAAGCCGUUUGGUAGCUGCAGCUAUUUUUUAAUCUGCUACUUUGCAGAUAUUCGGUGCUUUUACAAAAGAGAUAGACUUUAUAAAUGGACAAAAAUAAAUAUAUUACUAUAAGUCACAGUCUGCAUCACAUACAGAAGAAAAGCAGGGUAUCCAUUACCAAGUGAAAAGAAAUACCUUCAAAUACAAACCAAGCCCACCCAUUUCUUUCUACCGUAAUUCUUCCUUUCUUUCUGUGUGUGU